UUGUUUCAGUGCUAAUACCUGCCUAUUUUGUUACUUUCUUACUGUAUGGAUGUCGUAGAUAGUAAAUUUUGUUUGCUUGGAUUCUCUAGUGCCUUCCUUUAAACGCGAUAGUAAGUUUAUGUCGGAAGGCUGGAAACGAGAUGUAAUUCUUUCUAUUAGUGUAGUCUAAUAGAUGGCUUGUCUUUUCUUUAGUGGUUCAAGAAAAUCUAAAGGACCGUUUUUGUUUGUAAUGCGGUUCGUUUUGUCAUUGACAUCUCCUAGAUCUACAACAAACUUGUGGGCUUAAACAGUAAUCCAUUAAAUGAAACUGAGAUUUAGAGAUUGAACUAAGAAGAAGAUAGAUGACUUAUUUUGUUUCUUCCGGAUCGCUUGCUACUUAUAAAUGAAUACUAAACAUUGGAUGGUUGUAAGUACAUGCAUCCAAUAUGGCUUAUUAGGUUAAAAGGGCGGUGCUCCGAUUCUUUCACAUUACAUCAUAGCCAACUUUAUAAAACUUAGUCCUCCGAAUCCGCACUCAUAACACUCAUGAUCCCCGUAAGUUGGUAACACAUGGGAACAUCAACAACAAUAACAACAAACCUAGUCUAAUUCCACAAGUGGGGUCUAGGGAGGGUAGGAUGUACGUUGAGACCUUACCCUUACCUUUGUGCGGUAGAGAGACUGUUUACGAAAGACCCUUGACUCAAAAGAAGUGAAAUCAAAGCAAUAUUGAAUAAGAAAAUAAUGAAAACAAAAUAUCAAGAUGAACAAAGCAAAAGAAGCAACAAGUAGUAUUAAAAAUUAAAGAAUAAGCUACUAUGCGAAUACUAACUAAUACUACAUAGGGAGAAGAUAGGCCGAUGGAAAUUGUUGAAAAAUUUAAUGUUGAUUAUUAGCUAUAUUAUCUUCCAGAUUUAUUUUUUUCAAAUCUACACAAGCAUCUCAGUUUCUAUAUCUGUGAACUGAUUUAUGGUUUCUGCCAGUUUUAAUGUUUGCUCAAGGUUUAAUUUUUGGAGUUCAUCUGUUGAUUCUUUUUCUGCUCCAGGGUAUGAAUGGGAAGAAUAAGGCACCUAUUGUUGGUUCAGCUGUCUUAAAUGUUGCUGAAUUUGCUGCCAAGAUAGAGGAGAGAGAAUUUAAACUGAACAUUCCACUGGUUGUUCCAGGGGGUGCUUCCGAUACUCGGCCCAUGCUUUGUGUAUGCUCCUUUUAUUUCAUGAGUUAAUUUCUUACAAUAACAUGUUAUUUGUACUGCUACCCUCCUCAAAGACCUAUUCCCCCUUGUUAUUAUUUUUACUUGACUUGAUCUCGACAUGUCAUGCAGAUAUCGCUUAGCUUGUUCGAACUAAGAGCUACCCAAGAGUCAACAGAGUUGGUUCAGAGGCCACUAGCUCCUGUCCAAUCUCCAGCACGGUCCGUAGAAACUCCACCAGUAGAAAAGGAUGAGCUUUCUGCGCUCAAAGCUGGCCUCAGAAAGGUUAAAAUAUUUACGGAGUAUGUAUCAACUCGGAGAGCAAAGAAAGCUUGUCGAGAAGAGGAGGGUAGUGAAGAAAGAAGCUCAGCGAGGAGCGAAGAGGGGGAAUAUGCAUAUCCUUUUGAUUCUGAGUCCAAUGAUGAGUAUGAAGAAGGAGAGUCAGAUGAGGCAAAGGAGGAUCCUACUGUUAGGAAGUCAUUUAGUUAUGGUCCAUUGGCUUAUGCGAAUUGUGCAGGAGUUUCUUUUCAUUCUAGUACAAGGGUCAACGGUGAGGGUGAGGAUUGGGUUUACUUUAGCAACCGUAGAUCAGAUGUGGGCUGCUCACAAAUGGAUGACCAGGUCACCUGUGCUUCUGAUCUUGUAGUUUUGCAGAAUUCAAAGCGCAGUAUCCUUCCUUGGAGGAAGAGGAAACUGAGCUUUAGAUCUCCUAAAUCGAAGGGGGAACCGUUGUUGAAGAAGGAUAAUGGGGAAGAAGGUGGAGAUGAUAUUGACUUCGAUCGUCGGCAGCUCAGUUCUGAUGAAGCUCUUUCAUUUGGGGUAAGAUCUAUAGCCUCUCUUUUAACAGACAUUCUACUUUGUAAUUUUGUCUGUACUGGCUAUCCAAAAGCCAAAAUUUGGAUUAGGAUUAUACUUUGAUCUUGUUGCUCAUACUACUUGGACAUCUGCAUAAAGCAUCCUUGCCUAGUAAUUAUAUGUAGAGUUCACGAAGAGCACUUUAGCAAAUAACAUUUCCAUUUCUAGAGUAUGUUGAAUCAAAUGAGAGUAGUUAGAAUUAGAACGUAUAUCUUAGGCAGUAAUUUUCUUACCUUAUACAUCUAAUGAGUCCAUAUUGGUGCUUGACGCUUUCUCAAAUAAUCUAAUAAAUCUUCUACUUUGAGGCCACUUCAUUAUUUUUUACAUGUCAAUUUGAUAUUGUCUAGCAGCUGUACAAGGUGGAGGAAGACUCGACUGCUAAUCGAUCUUCAGUAUCUGAGUUUGGUGAUGACAAUUUUGCUGUUGGCUGUUGGGAACAGAAAGAGAUAGUAAGUCGGGAUGGACACAUGAAGCUUCAAACUCAGGUGUUCUUUGCUUCUAUUGACCAGCGCAGUGAACAAGCUGCUGGAGAAAGUGCAUGCACAGCCCUUGUGGCUGUGGUUGCUGAUUGGUUGCAGAACAAUCGCGAUCUCAUGCCAAUUAAAUCACAGUUUGAUAGCUUAAUUAGAGAAGGUUCAUUAGAAUGGAGGAAACUUUGUGAAAAUGAGACAUACAGGGAACGGUUCCCUGACAAACACUUUGAUCUGGAGACGGUCCUUCAAGCCAAAAUUCGCUCCAUAUCUGUCGUGCCAGGGAAUUCCUUUGUCGGUUUUUUCCACCCUGAUGGGAUGGAUGAGGGAGGAUUUGAUUUCUUGCAUGGUGCCAUGUCAUUCGACAAUAUCUGGGAUGAAAUUAGCCGCGCUGGAUUACAGUAUGCUUCUGUGCGUGAACCACAAAUCUAUAUCGUCAGCUGGAACGAUCAUUUUUUUGUCCUGAAGGUUGAAGCUGAAGCUUACUACAUCAUCGAUACCUUAGGUGAAAGACUCUAUGAAGGCUGCAAUCAAGCUUACAUUCUGAAGUUUGAUAAGGAAACAACCAUCUAUAAACAGCCGGACACUACACAGUCCACAGAAGAAAAACCUGCUGUGGAUCAGCAAACUAUUUCUACCACAGCGGAGACAAAACUUAGCGAUGGUCCUCAUACAAAUGCAACGCAUGGUUCUCUAGAGAGUGAAGCUGUGAACGAAACAGAUGAACCAUCGAAGGCUGAGAGCGUAGAAGAAAUUAUCUGUCAAGGCAAAGAGUCAUGCAAAGACUACAUCAAGAGUUUUUUGGCUGCCAUACCAAUCAGGGAACUGCAGGCAGAUAUCAAGAAGGGUUUGAAAACAUCAACCCCUCUUCAUCAGCGGCUUCAGAUUGAACUUCAUUUCACUCAUUUACAACAACAACCACUCAUAACUACUCCGGCAAUAGAGAUAGCAACGGCUGCACAAGAACUGCCUGCAGUUGCAAUGACUGAGAUCUCGGUGUAAGAGUCUUUUCAACUGUAAAUUUUAAGAAGUGUGUGAUAGUUUCUAACUAGUUUUCGUUCUGUCGUUAGUGAUGUUUUGUGUUGCAUUAGAGUAAAGAUAGUGUUAAGUCUUUUAGGGAAGUAAAAGUUUGUAAAUCAACCUUCUGUCUUGAACUUAUAAUAGAUGGUUUUUAACUUCUGUUUUUGUACUAUCAUUGCAUACCUUACAUAAUUGGCAUACAUUAAUUAGAGCUCUUGUUUUGAAGAUGAUUUGUUCCAUAGAUGGUAAGAAAGUUAAAUAGAAUGUUCAAAAGUUGAUUUAUCUGAUUUAUGUUGUGUGCAUAGUAAGUUGAAGGGGAGAUCUUGGAGCAACGAUAAGUUGUAUUUGUCUGACCUAUUGGUUAUAGGUUCGAACUGUGUAGUAUUUGUGUGACCUAUAGGUUACAGAUUUGAACUGUGGAUAUCACAUCGCCUUGGGGUUCAACCCUUCCUCAGAUCUUGUGACCUAUAGGCUACAUGUUCGAGUUGUACAAUUAGUCACCGUUACUUGUGUUAAAAUAGACUGUUGACAUUACAUUUCUUUGGGUUUUCACCCUUCUUCAAAUUCCAACCAUUCGAGUCGUUGAAUUAGUCAUUGAUACUUGUGUCAGAGUAGGAUGCAGACAUAGCAUCCCCUUGGAGUCUAGUCCUUCUUUCACAUUUCUUUGGGUUUCGGCCCUUCCUCAAAUCCUACAACUGUUCGAGUCAUUGAUACUUGUGUCAGAGUAAGUUGUUAACAUCGCAUCCCAUUGUGGUCCAACACAAACCCAAUCCUUUUGUGUGAACGCGAGAUAUUUCGUGCACCGCAUUUUUCAGUUUCUAGUUUUGCAAUGGUGCUCAUGUGAUGUGAUGUUCCAUGUUACUUUUGUUAGCUGUAAAGUUGAGAUCCUUUCUUCCAAGUUAGUUCCUCGUGCACAUGAAGAGAUUCUUUCUUCAAUGUUCAACUUGAGAAUAUCAAGGCAUAUCCUUCCAAGCUUCAUAAUGAUGGUCAACAUAAGCGAGGCAGCUUGUGGCUUAGAAAUUAUGUAUAACAGAAUCGAAUAACAGAACAAACCUUAUCAAUAUUCGGAUGAUAGAUUUUGGUGAGGAAUCGAACCUGUAAAUAGUAUGCAACUUGAUCAAUGACUGAAUUAAUAGCAGCAACAAAAAUAGCACAAACUUAAUUCACAUUUUAAUUUUUACAGCAAGAACACACAUAAUCCCUACAACCAAUAUGUGAUCAACCCUACAUACUGCAUAUAGGUAAAAGCCCAUGAUCAUUUAGGAAGGGGCAACCCUCAUGCAAAACCAUGAAGGAAAUUUGUCUAUGAAUCCCCAAGCAUUUAUGGGCAAGCAACAUAGGGAAUCAUAGCAUCUCAAGACCUGAGGCAUCUUGUCCUCCAAGCGAGGUUCAAAAAUGUGUCAUGGUUGCAACUCAGUUCCCAGGAAAGUAAAUUCAAGAGAUGCUUAUAAGAUAAAAUAUGAGCCAAACUGAAAAAGUAUCUGCAGAGUUCAUGAUAUACUAUCAUCUUGGGAGUUAAAACCCCCUGAUACACUUAAUGUUGCCCCAGGAAAAACAGCCUGAAUUAAUAUAUUCAUCACGAACAGGAUUUAUAAGGGGGGAACCCACCCCCACCCCACCACACACACACAAAAUCACUUUUAAAAGAUUUGCACUUUGCCAUCAAUAUUCUUAAAAGAUGUGACGUGAUUCACGAAAACUCAAUAAUUUUUUUCUUCCCAAAUUAAAUUGUUUACUAAAUAUUUAAAAUUUAUAAGCUUUAAAUUCUGACUCGAUUUUUCCUUGUUUCACAACAAAGUUCCAAAAUUAGUGGUUUUCUAUUGAUUUCCUAAAGUGAAGCAAUGAUCACUACAAGUUGAGAAAAUUCAUGACUUUAUCUGAAAUAUUCCCAUCAUAUUAGGGUCCUAUUAGAAUAUACCUAACUUUAAGAAAUAUGCUUGAAUUACCAAUGCACUUGGACUUGACUCAUUUUUAUUUUAUUCUUUUGAAAUUGAAAAAAAAAUAUGAUAAUGUAUUUGAAGUGAUUGAAAAGGACUGUUUUGGUUUUUAGUUUGGUGUAUGCAAAGAACAUUCUAGCAAUUUAGAUAUAUUUAAAGAACUUUCUUAAUCUAUAGGAUCCAUUCAAAUCAAUGGCGGAAUCAGGUAGGGUUAAGGUGUUUAUUUGGAAACUUACACUAUUUGUACGUGAUUAAAAUUGUUGUAUGUAUAUAUAAUAGAUGUUGAGCCCUGUUAGAGUUUCUUCGUGUAUUUACUUUUCAUAUUUUGAACCCUAUAGUAAAAAUUCUAACUUGCCUCUGAUUUGACCUUGUAAGAAAUACUGCCUUCGCCCUUGCUUGUAGAAGUUUCGAACUCCAACACAUUGUGUUUUUUUAUUUUUUUCGUGUUUUAGCUAUGAAUAUUUUUUAUUUAGUUUUAUUGUUGCAUUAAAAAUAAUUAUUUUUUAUAUGCACACGUGGCAAAGGUUUUGACAAGAAUUAUUCUCACAUUAACUAUUCAUUAAGCCCAUUAAGUUCAUAAAUUUUGGAUUGGGCCUAUUUUCUUGAAGUGUCCACUGGACUUUGAAUGGUCUCUUAAAUCCAUUGUUCACUAGGUUACACAUGAUGAUUUACGAGAAUGACCUUAGAAGUGGACAGUCUUGAACUUUCGACCCCGCUUGUUUCAUGGAUAAAAUUUUAAGUUAAUUUUUUUUUAACGUUUGGCCUUUUUUGCUCAUGGAUCAAGCGGGGGCUAAAAAGUCCAACACCAUUAAUUUUCGAGGUCAUUGGGUGUAAUUUCCUAGUUGUAUCCAUAGUUCAUUUUGGUUAUACACAUGAGCAUUUAAGCUAUGUCUUAAUUUUAUAGUUUAUUUUUUGCACAUUUACUCUCUUUCGAACAACUUCAAAUGUUCUGAAGUUUCAUAUGAUUGAUGUUGAGACAUUUUCGUCUAAAGUUUACUUAAAUUUAACAAUUUUUGCCCUACUUCAAUCGUUUAUGUUUGUACUUACUUUUGACUAACAUCGAUCCUAUGUUAUUCAAAUAAGGUACCCCGUGAAAUUUUUACGCCAUAACUAGGAAGAUAAUUGUUCCAUUAUUUUUAUUUUUUUUAAUAAUAAGAUGCAAAAGCUCUUUCAAAUUUGCAUCAUAUUGGGCCAAAUCAGUUCAGAUUGUAGCCCACUAGCCCACCUCAUUGAUUCUUAGUGGGCUGAUUUUAAUCAAACAGCUAGUUGUUAAGCCCAAUCAUUUUGCCAAUAUUAAGAUUAUAUUCCGUCUGGUAGAAUGAUCAAGGUACGUGUAAGUUGGCUCAAACAUUACUGUUACAAAAGGUAAUUAAAAAGGACAAUGCCACAAGAAAUGUUUAGUCUUAAAUUAGCUAAAAGAUUUAUAUAUCUCUUGUACUGAUUCUAAGUCAACCAUAAACAUUAGUUACAUGUAGUCUAACAUAAAUGACAUCUCGAUGCACGAAGCGUUUCACGUUCGUGUAGAUCUCUAAGGACCACACUCCCAAAAGGUGUAAUGCAAAUAGUUUACUCUAACUCAAACAAACAUCAUUGGCUCCAUGGCUCGAACCUUAUGACUUAGUAAUACUGAAACAACUUUACUGAAGCUUCAAGAUGAUACUAUAUUUACAAGAAGAUGGCACCUAACUACAAACAGGACACUUGAUCAAUCCAUUUUCGUUACAUUUUGGACAUCGAAUUCGAUAUCCAUUAGUAUCUUUACCUUGAUCUUGAUCUAUGAUCUUGCAACAUCCAUGACAACUCAAACACAAAACAAAUCUAAUCCCACAACAACCAUUACAUGGAAAAUUUGAAGAAAUUAAAGGAAUGUCAUGUAAUAGUUUCUUUAAAAUCCCUUGUUCAUGAAGUCCAACAACUUCAUUAGCUCUACCAAUGUCUCUACCUUUAAUAAACAAUCUUGGAGGGACAAUUCUUCCUCCAAGAAUCCUCCACAACUCCUCUCUAUACUCGAUGUGCAUGGAUACAUCUCGUUCAUAGUAGACAACACGAAAGCUUUCUAGUAGGAAUCGAAUCAUGUUGCAAUCCUCAAACGUCUUCCUUAUCCCUCUUAGGCUCGUUGUGUAGAGAAUGAUCGCGUCUUUUCCUCCUUGUGGACACUUGUAUUCAAAAUCACACAAGAGUUUGUUUUCCUCCAUAGUGUUUGAUUCUUGAAAAAGAUGAUGAGUUUCAUAUUCACAUGUAGUCUCUUGAUGAUCAACAUCAUUUGCAAGAUCAAUGUUUUGACAAAGCAUCUUAUUGUCAUGUUGUGUGUUUGUUGUUAGUUGACUUUGGAGAUGUUUGGUUGGAUGAUUUACUUGGAAAACUAAUGUUGGAAGGGAUUUGAUUUUCCUUAGAAUUCCUCCAUUGAUGUUUUUCAUCUCCUCUUUUCCUUUCUUUGUUUGUUUCUACAAAGAAAAGAGUUGAGUAACACUUUUGUCUACAACUAAAUUUUGAAGGUAUUAAUGAAAGGGGGAUUGAAAGGGACUUUGAAAAAGCAAUGUACAAAAAAGGCUAUUUGUUACUAACUUUUUGAACUUUUUAAUGAUGACAACUAAAUUGACAAACAUAUGUAAGGAAAAAAAAAGAACAUGUUCAAAAGUUGGUUUAAAUUGACCAUAUCCAUAUGCCAAGGACUUAUUAGUAAUUUUACUAAGUACAAAUGGUUGAGGUGGACCUCUAUGAUUGGUUUAUGUGUAGAUAAUUUUACCAUGAAGAUCGGGACAAUUCAUCUGAAUCAAGUGUUUUUGACGUGGAAGGUAAUAUGUAUGUGAAAAUUUACUACCAUUUCAACAAAUUAGUACUAGAUCUAAGCUCACAAUUUUCAAGAUUCAAUGAGUAUAGCGUCAAGAACCUUAGAUGUCAAACGUAAAGUCCUGAAAUCACAUCCAUAUGGGGAGGACCUUUCAAUAAUUUCACCCGCGUACAAUGUCUAACGUGGACCUUUAUGAUUGGUUUAAACCAAGGAAAGAUGUAAAGUAUAACUAACUAACUAUUACGUUCAUCCAUCCCACUAUCUUUAGUUCAGUCCUUAUAUAUGUGUUAACAAGUUCAUUAAAUAAGUAUAAAUACUUGAUUCAGAACCAAGUUAACCAAACUAUCUUAGCAUCCAAAACUUGAACUCAUGUAAUUCAAUUCCUGAAUUCAUUAACUCAAGCAUUUUGAUGAUUUCACCAUGAAAAAUGGGCGCAAAUCUAAUUCUUCAACGGCAUGUCUAUCUGAACUCAAUAUAUUUUUGACGCUAAGCAUAGUAUAUACAUGCGAAAAUCCACUAAAAAUUAUGUUAGAUCUUCACCCAUGAUUCUUAAGUUAUAAUAAAUUGAAUGCUAAGAAACUUAAAGAUUGGAUUGAUCAUUAUAUUAAAAUUCUAAAUCCGCCGCAUGACAGACAAAGUAGAAGGUGUCAAUGGGACCAAAUUGGGUAUAGGGGACAAGGUGUGCCACAAGCAAUAAUACAAUCACAAGGGAUGCAAAGCAAUUUCUUUUUAUCAGUUAGAAAGUUUGGAGGAUGUAAAGCAAUAAUAGUGACUCAAAACAUCUUUUUGCUUGUUGAGCAUGGCCUGUUCUCAACAAGUCAAAAAGCCAAAAAGCAAAACCCCUUAUAUGAUGUUGAUUUGACAAGUUAACUAGAAACAUAAUCAAUAGUUUCUUUUGGAUAUAUUCCUCUUCUCAUAAAGAAAACUAAUUUAUAGUGGGGGCACUUUAGUCUCAAAAACUACACAACCCCUCUCCAAACAAGCAUCCAGUGGAAUCUAGGUAUCCACGACGUUGGAGUGAUAAGAGCACAACACGUGAUGUUUCAAUAAGGGAAAAACACGUCAAUGAUUCAAACUUUGGCGUGUGUUCUAUGGUUUUCCACAACAUGGUGUCAGGUACCCACAUUAGGACCUUGACUAGUUGGGAUUUGCACCACAUAAGAUAACAAAGUUUUUUCAUAUACAAGACUCGAACUCGAGACCUCUGGUAAAUGGAGGAGAGAUCCUAUCCAUCCAGAAACCUCUUAUUCAGACUCUUAAUAGUGCCACAUAACCUCAAGGAUGCAACAUAAAACACCUCCUUCAGGCUUAAUAGCAAAAGACAAGCAGCAUCACUUAGGGACAAAGAAACACAGUUCUCUUGAGUUUCUGAGUAAACCAGUACUAAUUAAGAGGUACAAGAAAAAGCCACAGAACACAUAAUACUUCACAAAAUACAAGUACUACACAUUAA
Molecule: long non-coding RNA, 9694 nt
Filed under: Solanum tuberosum (potato)
Lineage: Eukaryota; Viridiplantae; Streptophyta; Magnoliopsida; Solanales; Solanaceae
Description: long non-coding RNA (STUB_LNC001225)
Source: RNAcentral